UCGCAGUCUCGCUUGUUUCUCUCUUAAUGUGAGGUGUACCGCCCCUUCGCCCCCUCGAUGCCGUCGCAAUGCGCAUUCUUUGAAUUUUGAUGUGUGUGUGUGUGUGUUUUUUUUUUCUUUAUUUUUUUUUUCUUUCCUUCUCGCUGAGGUUUUCCUUUUGGCUCACCUGGUUUCAUGUUCUCUUGUGUCUGUAGUUGUCGAAAUGGCAGCAGCGAUGGCCUCUAUGACUACCCCCGUCGUUGCCGGGCUUGGUGGCUCAGCUCUCCUCGCUAACAGGACUUCCUCUAAGGUCCAACUGACCUCGGGUGAGUUUCUCUCGUUGGUUCCACUUGUCUAGUGUGUGCGAUCGAAAUGUGAAUUUUUAUUGACUUGUGCGUUUUCGCUUAUUGGUUGGUCCUGAUUGCUCUUCGGUGUUCGUGCUUCUGAAUGCAGCUUUCGUUCCCCGUGCCGUUCAAGUUAACAAGCCUCUCUGCGUUUCCCGCGUCACCUGGUAUGUCCUCUACGAUGUCAAUUGGAAUUCAUGUGGUUGUAUCAUUCUGCUUUAAGUUCACUUAUUAGACUGUUUGCGGAUUCUCAUUUUCCAAAUACUUCGUAGCCUUUCAGUGUUUCAAGACGAUCGAUUUGAUUCUUUCUGUGAUGAAUGCGAUGGUUGCUGUGCGCAGCUUCAACAGGGAUUGGUUGAGGAAGGACCUCUCUGUCAUUGGCUUUGGCCUCAUUGGUUGGUUGGCACCGUCCAGCCUGCCAGUCAUCAAUGGCAACAGCUUGACAGGCCUCUUCUUGGGCAGCAUCGGACCCGAGCUGGCUCACUUCCCUACAGGCCCAGCCCUUACAUCGCCAUUCUGGUACGUUCACAAUUCAACAUCUGUGUAUUCAGUGUUAUCAGACUCAGAGAGACCUUAAUGUUGUAUCGCGGAGUUUGCAGACUUUGUCUAUGGAGAAACGUGGGUUUCAGAUGAUUGUAGUGUUGAUCUAAAAUGUGGUGCUCUUGAAC
Molecule: long non-coding RNA, 991 nt
Filed under: Physcomitrium patens
Lineage: Eukaryota; Viridiplantae; Streptophyta; Bryopsida; Funariales; Funariaceae
Description: long non-coding RNA (PPAT_LNC009286)
Source: RNAcentral